This is a long non-coding RNA of Capsicum annuum, 777 nucleotides long. RefSeq lists it as uncharacterized. Lineage: Eukaryota; Viridiplantae; Streptophyta; Magnoliopsida; Solanales; Solanaceae. The record is from RefSeq and is a predicted model, not a curated record. The transcript is spliced from 2 exons.
UAGUCCAAAUCCAACAUCGGAGUAAAACAUUAUGCCCGAUUUACUUCAGCAUAUCAGCCUGUCAACUGGCAGAAAUUCCUGCGACAUUUGUGAUUUCUUUAGGGGUAUUUUGGUCUUUUCCUCACCCUAGAACCUAACCCUCACGAGUUUAAAUCUACCCUAAGCUGUAUAAUACAUAUUAUAUCAGUUUUCAACAUACCAAAUCCUCUCCACUCUCAAGAAACAUGAUCAAAUUAGGGUCUUCAUCAAAGAUCAAGAAUUGAAGCUCUAGGUCCAAGAAUUCCAAGAAAUCAAUUAAGAUUCAGGUUCCAUUCUUCUAACUACAAAAUCUAAGGUUCUGAGGCACAGUCUAGGGGUCCCGAUAAGCAGUAAAAUUCUCAGACAGAGGUGCAAAGUCCAGUUGGUGAGCCUUCUAUAUUUCAGAAGGCCUAUUCACUUUCAGACAUUUAUCACGAGAUUGGUUUUGGUCUACUGGGGCCUUGUCCCAGAAUUCAGAUAGUUGUUAUUUGAUCAUGUAAUAGAGAUUUUUGCAGACAAUUUUCAGAUGUUGUUAGAUGGUUUUGGGUUUCAUUUUCCAUUGUUGAAUGUAUAUCAGACUUCUGACCAUGAUUCCGUUUCGUUAUACUUUUCCGCAUUUUUCUUAAAUUGUGUAUGAAUGGUGUAUAUGAUUGCAAGUUAGAAGGGCUCUCGGAUCUUUAUGGUUCGGAAUCCCCGUCACGGACGGGCCCUAGGUUCGGGUCGUGACAUAUACAUAUAUAAAAACAAUUGACCUUCUUU